UACGUAGGGUGCGAGCGUUGCCCGGAUUUAUUGGGCGUAAAGGGCGCGUAGGCGGUCACGCACGUCCGUUGUGAAAUCGCUCGGCUCAACUGGGCGGGGUCAGCGGAUACGGCGUGGCUGGAGCAAGCUAGGGGGCAAUGGAAUUCCCGGUGUAGUGGUGGAAUGCGCAGAUAUCAGGAGGAACACCGGUGGCGAAGGCGGGUCUCUGGGCAGUAACUGACGCUGAGGAGCGAAAGCGUGGGGAGCGAACAGG
RNAcentral lists this ribosomal RNA (253 nucleotides) under uncultured bacterium. Its description in RNAcentral is "partial 16S ribosomal RNA". It matches the Rfam family "Bacterial small subunit ribosomal RNA", at positions 524 to 776 of the family's 1533-position model. The record is from RNAcentral.